Molecule: long non-coding RNA, 635 nt
Filed under: Penaeus japonicus
Lineage: Eukaryota; Metazoa; Arthropoda; Malacostraca; Decapoda; Penaeidae
Description: uncharacterized LOC122267453
Source: RNAcentral
AGAGAGAGAGAGAGAGAGAGAGAGAGAGAGAGAGAGAGAGAGAGAGAGAGAAAAUGAUCUCACUAACGCCAAAAAUCAAGCAUUCAGUUUCCCAAAGAAAGCACCAAAUAUUUCUCAUUGCAUUACUGUUCCUUGUGACUCUGAUGACGCUGACAAGCCCUGGAGGCCACGUGGCUGUUCUUACCAUGGAUAACGAUGAGUUUUUGAAAGCUUUGUGGCAAGAGAAAUGGCAGGGACAGGUAAAUCGGCUGAAUUUGGAAGACCAAGCCAAAGGAUGACCCUGACCUCCUGAGGCUAUUGAAGGAUAGAUACCUCUCUAAGCCCAGUGACAAACCAGCUAAUCUAAUGUUAGAUCUGGAAACCGAUCGAGCGAAGAAUUAUAAUAUUUACAGAACGGCUUUUCAUUCUUGGAUUCGUAUUAAUAAAAUCCUGAAGAAGUGAGUAUAUAUUGAGCGUUUGUUUUGCUUGGGGAAUGGCGUGACAAUUUUUUUUUUUCUUUUCUCUUUUUUUACUAAGUAGAGAGAUCUUUGAUUAGAGUUCAUUUAUAUAAUUAGAUUUUUCUGUGAUUUAUUUUAUGUCCACUGGGUACAUUUCCUUCAACUCUUUGUUUGUCACUAUUUUAUGUUAUCUUUAUU